CGGGGAAACUCGAAUUAAUACCGCAUACGUCCUACGGGAGAAAGGGGGCAACUUGUUGCUCUCGCUAUUAGAUGAGCCUAAGUCGGAUUAGCUAGAUGGUGGGGUAAAGGCCUACCAUGGCGACGAUCUGUAGCUGGUCUGAGAGGAUGAUCAGCCACACCGGGACUGAGACACGGCCCGGACUCCUACGGGAGGCAGCAGUGGGGAAUAUUGGACAAUGGGGGAAACCCUGAUCCAGCCAUGCCGCGUGUGUGAAGAAGGCCUUUUGGUUGUAAAGCACUUUAAGCAGUGAAGAAGACCUAACGGUUAAUACCCGUUAGCGAUGACUUU
This 330-nucleotide ribosomal RNA is filed under the name Psychrobacter proteolyticus. RNAcentral describes it as "bacterial SSU rRNA". It matches the Rfam family "Bacterial small subunit ribosomal RNA", at positions 149 to 476 of the family's 1533-position model. The record is from RNAcentral. Lineage: Bacteria; Pseudomonadati; Pseudomonadota; Gammaproteobacteria; Moraxellales; Moraxellaceae.